This 253-nucleotide ribosomal RNA is filed under the name uncultured bacterium. RNAcentral's name for it is "partial 16S ribosomal RNA". It matches the Rfam family "Bacterial small subunit ribosomal RNA", at positions 524 to 776 of the family's 1533-position model. The record is from RNAcentral.
UACGUAGGGUCCGAGCGUUGUCCGGAAUUAUUGGGCGUAAAGGGCUCGUAGGCGGUUCGUCACGUCGGGAGUGAAAACUCGGGGCUUAACCCCGAGCCUGCUUCCGAUACGGGCAGACUAGAGGUAGGCAGGGGAGAGCGGAACUCCUGGUGUAGCGGUGGAAUGCGCAGAUAUCAGGAAGAACACCGGUGGCGAAGGCGGCUCUCUGGGCCUUACCUGACGCUGAGGAGCGAAGGCGUGGGUAGCGAACAGG